CUAUGGUCGUAGGUUCCUACAAUACUUUUGCACAAAACAUCUCAACCUGUUAUGCCCACCUCUGAAAGUCUAAAAACUUCUAUUUGCAAGCGUAUGUAAACCCUUGUUUUCUUCACAUAGAUUGGUUUGCUUUUGAAACUUCAUCUUGUGUGUUAGUGUCUGUUUCAUCGGGUACACCAAGGCCUUGGGUAAUAAACUUUGGUUGGACAGAACCAAAAAGUCCAUGGCAUAAGGAGGGUGGUUUCCUCUGGGUAUAGUGAUCACUAAGAAAAGUUCCAACACUAUGCCAUUUUUAUUUCAC
Molecule: non-coding RNA, 301 nt
Organism: Pelobates cultripes (western spadefoot toad)
Lineage: Eukaryota; Metazoa; Chordata; Amphibia; Anura; Pelobatidae
Source: the annotation of a GenBank genome assembly